RNAcentral lists this long non-coding RNA (1149 nucleotides) under Pogona vitticeps (central bearded dragon). RNAcentral's name for it is "lncRNA (ENSPVIG00000023184.1)". Lineage: Eukaryota; Metazoa; Chordata; Lepidosauria; Squamata; Agamidae. The record is from RNAcentral.
AUGGGACGAGUUGUUAGGGGCUGUGCUGCAGAAUUAGCUGGAGUUUUUACGGAUAUUUUCAAUCUAUCCUUGUUGCAGUGUUCUGUCCCCACUUGCCUGAAGACAUCUAUUAUAGUGCCAGUCCCGAAGCAGUCAGCUGUGGUAUCUCCCAAUGAUUAUAGACCAGUAGCUUUAACAUCUGUUAUUAUGAAAUGUUUUGAGAGAUUGGUGCUGGAUUACAUUAAGGCUAGUCUUCCACCUUCUUUGGAUCAAUGGCAAUUUGCAUACAGGAGAAAUAGAUCUACUGAUGAUGCUGUGUCCAUCGUACUCCAUACUGUAUUGAGCCACUUAGAACAACAGGGAACUUAUGCGAGGCUGUUGUUUGUGGAUUAUAGCUCUGCUUUUAACACCAUUCUACCAAAUAGGUUGUUUUUAAAAAUGAUCAACCUGGGAUUACCUCAGGAGAUCUGCAUGUGGAUAAAGGAUUUUCUGACAGAUAGGCCACAGUCAGUAAGGAUGGGAUCCCACCAUUCUUCUACCCUGGUACUAAGUACAGGAGCUCCCCAGGGCUGCGUGCUAAGUCCUUUCCUCUAUUCCCUGUACACACAUGAUUGCACCCCACUAUAUAACACCAAUGCAAUUAUUAAAUUUGCGGAUGAUACGACAGUGGUGGGACUCAUAAAUAAGAACAAUGAGUCUGCUUAUAGAAAGGAAGUACAAAGACUGAUACUAUGGUGUAAAGAAAAUCAUCUCACACUUAACAUCAAAAAAACUAAAGAACUCAUAAUUGAUUUUAGGAGGAAGAGAAAUGUACAUUUACCACUGUACAUAAACGGUGAGGAAGUGGAGAGAGUUGGUAGUUUUAAAUUUCUGGGCACUUACAUCUCAGAGGACCUCUCAUGGACUAUAAAUGCCAACAUGCUAAUAAAGAAGGCACAGAAGAGGCUGUAUUUCCUGAGAAUGCUCGGGAAGUUAAAUUUAUCACAGCAUUUACUUCUGUCCUACUACCGUAGCACCAUUGAGAGUGUCCUAACUUAUGGCAUUCUGGCAUGGUUUGGGAGUAGCUCUGUAGCGGACAAAAAAGCUCUACAGAGAACCAUUAAAAUUGCCCAGAAUAUCAUCGGGCUCCAGCUACAACCCUGGAUGACAUCUUCACAUCCCGCUGUCUAA